GGAUGCGAUCAUACCAGCACUAAUGCACCGGAUCCCAUCAGAACUCCGCAGUUAAGCGUGCUUGGGCGAGAGUAGUACUAGGAUGGGUGACCCCCUGGGAAGUCCUCGUGUUGCAUCCC
This is a ribosomal RNA of Ananas comosus (pineapple), 119 nucleotides long. Lineage: Eukaryota; Viridiplantae; Streptophyta; Magnoliopsida; Poales; Bromeliaceae. The record is from Rfam.